RNAcentral lists this non-coding RNA (30 nucleotides) under Rattus norvegicus (Norway rat). The record is from RNAcentral. Lineage: Eukaryota; Metazoa; Chordata; Mammalia; Rodentia; Muridae.
UUCCACCAGGGGGAAGAGACACAGACGAGU